RNAcentral lists this small nucleolar RNA (68 nucleotides) under Gambusia affinis (western mosquitofish). Its description in RNAcentral is "Small nucleolar RNA SNORD58 (ENSGAFG00000008076.1)". It matches the Rfam family "Small nucleolar RNA SNORD58". From Rfam's summary of the family: snoRNA U58 is found in introns 1, 3 and 6 of the ribosomal protein RPL17 gene in humans. U58 is a member of the C/D class of snoRNA which contain C (UGAUGA) and D (CUGA) box motifs. Most of the members of the box C/D family function in directing site-specific 2'-O-methylation of substrate RNAs. The record is from Rfam by way of RNAcentral. Lineage: Eukaryota; Metazoa; Chordata; Actinopteri; Cyprinodontiformes; Poeciliidae.
UUGCAAUGAUGACUACUUAGGACACCUUUGGAUUCCCCAUGAAAAUAAAUGGUAACAUUCUGAGCAAC